UACGAAGGGUGCAAGCGUUAAUCGGAAUUACUGGGCGUAAAGGGUGCGUAGGCGGUUGUUUAAGUCUGUCGUGAAAUCCCCGGGCUCAACCUGGGAAUGGCGAUGGAUACUGGACAGCUAGAGUGUGUCAGAGGAUGGUGGAAUUCCCGGUGUAGCGGUGAAAUGCGUAGAGAUCGGGAGGAACAUCAGUGGCGAAGGCGGCCAUCUGGGACAACACUGACGCUGAGACGCGAAAGCGUGGGGAGCGAACAGG
Molecule: ribosomal RNA, 253 nt
Filed under: uncultured bacterium
Lineage: Bacteria
Description: partial 16S ribosomal RNA
Rfam family: Bacterial small subunit ribosomal RNA
Source: RNAcentral